Ostrea edulis (European flat oyster) is the source of this 1659-nucleotide long non-coding RNA. RefSeq lists it as uncharacterized. The record is from RefSeq and is a predicted model, not a curated record. The transcript is spliced from 2 exons. Lineage: Eukaryota; Metazoa; Mollusca; Bivalvia; Ostreida; Ostreidae.
GCCCCGAGCAAGACUUCCGCAUGUUCAUCAUUUUUCUCUCAGCUGUAUAAGAUUUAAUAUUUUUGACUGUGAAAUGAAAUGGAGAACUAACAUCAUUAUCGUCGACAGCACAGGUUAUAACAAAAAGAUCCACGGCUUUCACUGCUUAUGUCAGAGGACCGGUCACUACCCACGACUUUCACUGCUUAUGACAGAGGACCGGUCACUACCCACGACUUUCACUGCUUAUGACAGAGGAGCGGUCACUACCCACGACUUUCACUGCUUAUGACAGAGGACCGGUCACUACCCACGACUUUCACUGCUUAUGACAGAGGACCGGUCACUAUCCACGACUUUCACUGCUUAUGACAGAGGAACAGUCACUACCCUUGACUUUCACUGCUUAUGACAGAGGACCGGUCACUACCCACGACUUUCACUGCUUAUGACAGAGGACCGGUCACUACCCACGACUUUCACUGCUUAUGACAGAGGACCGGUCACUACCUAUGCAAACAUCUAUGGUUUGGCAUGGUGUCAGGAUCAAGACUGAAAUCCGGGCCAUUCCACUUGUGAAGCGAGUACCCUAACCACUACAGUAACCAACAAAAUGUGAGUACCCUAACCACUACAGUAACCAACAAAAUGUGAGUACCCUAACCACUACAGUAACCAACAAAAUUUGUAUUCAACAAGUCACAUAAAAACACAGAUAAUUUUAACUCUUUAAUCCCUUUUUUACAUGUAAUAGGAAGGGAGAAAAUGCAAUGGAACAGACCGGCAUUUGAACCCGGGCCCUCUGAAUCUCAGGUGCUCUGUCAACUGAGCUAUCUGGCCACAAGCAAUUGAAUCCAGUUGACUGCUACACACAGUUUAUCGAAAAGUGGACCUACUGCUUACAUUUAAAAAACCCACCAACAUGUAAAUAUCAAAUUUAUCAAAGUCCAAAGAGGAUUCAUUCUUAAUACUAUACACCAGUGUGUGUACGGCAUAGAAAUAAAAGGCAAUAAGACAAACAUAUGCAGAUUAUUUCUUUAUUAGCAAUGAUUUCAAUCCUCAUUCCAGGGUACAACUUCCUUUCGUCCUUAACAAAUUAGAUCUCUCCAACAAUAACUGUAUUUCAAUGUAUAAUGAAGCUGAAUAAAUAUAUAAUAUUAUAGAUAUUGACUUUGUUCUUAUGUUUCUUUAAAUGUUUAACAUAAAAUUUAUUAAAAAUUACAAAGAUUUAAGAUAUACACAUACCAUAAUGUUUUCAAAUUGACAAAAUAUCUCCCCUAUACAUACUACAACACAUUCAACCACCUGUUACAAAAUCAAUACUGUAUCUCCCAUAUAUAUAUAUAUAUAUACUACUAUAUAACACAUUCAAACGUAACAUCUAUUACAAAAUUAAUAUGGCAGAUAUGAGUAGAGAAUCUGUUCUGACUUUUAAUUUUCAAACCCUAUGACUUGAAGAAAAUGCUGACUAAGAAAAACAGUUACAAAAAUCCCUGAAAUGUGUAAAAUCUGAAUUACACAAUGUACAUAUUUUAAUGUCUUAAAGAGGCCUGCAAAUAUCCAGUGUUAGAUAUUUCUGACUCUAAGUACUGGACGCAUUAAAGGAUUUAUUCACAACCCCUACACGACAAUACAAAUUGAUAUAAUCUUUUAAUUAAAAAAAGCCCGCUCCCAACCCCC